RNAcentral lists this ribosomal RNA (258 nucleotides) under uncultured bacterium. RNAcentral's name for it is "partial 16S ribosomal RNA". It matches the Rfam family "Bacterial small subunit ribosomal RNA", at positions 336 to 610 of the family's 1533-position model. The record is from RNAcentral.
UUCCUACGGGGGGCAGCAGUGGGGAAUAUUGCACAAUGGGGGAAACCCUGAUGCAGCGACGCCGCGUGAGUGAAGAAGUAUUUCGGUAUGUAAAGCUCUAUCAGCAGGGAAGCAGCAAGACGGUACCUGACUAAGAAGCCCCGGCUAACUACGUGCCAGCAGCCGCGGUCCUACGUAGGGGGCACGCGUUAUCCGGAUUUACUGGGUGUAACGGGAGCGUAGACGGUAUGGCAAGUCUGAAGUGAACGCCCAGGGCUU